UUUAUUUUAUUUAAUUUUAAGUCUAACUCAUUUAAAUUAAAUAUAAAAAUUGACAAAAAAAAAUCAGAAAACGGCGAAUCGGGAAGAAAAUCCCGUAGGGAGUUAUGUUGCCCAGGAGCAUGCUGGGCACUGUGUGUGCAUGCAUAAACGAACAAUAGCUGCAUGAUGGCUGCACAACAUGCAAGUUUCAUCUGCACGCACCCACGCAUGGGACGUGCACACAGCGUGCACGUCCCCUUCGCAUGCAUGAUGCGGGGUCAGGACCUGCGCGCGUCACCUAGUGCAUGGACAGGCACUGCACAUUGU
Molecule: long non-coding RNA, 306 nt
Filed under: Carica papaya (papaya)
Lineage: Eukaryota; Viridiplantae; Streptophyta; Magnoliopsida; Brassicales; Caricaceae
Description: long non-coding RNA (CPAP_LNC011608)
Source: RNAcentral